This is an RNA transcript of Cucumis sativus (cucumber), 2326 nucleotides long. It is a transcript of the gene named D-3-phosphoglycerate dehydrogenase, with no coding region annotated. The record is from RefSeq and is a predicted model, not a curated record. NCBI's taxonomy places the organism in Eukaryota, Viridiplantae, Streptophyta, Magnoliopsida, Cucurbitales, Cucurbitaceae. The transcript has 9 exons.
GACUUUACAUCCUUGAUGAUGAGACCUCCAGUAGUAGUAUCUCUAGGACUAGUUUAUUGUCUUCCUAUUUUAGGACUUCUGAACAUGACUUUAUGUUAUGACAUUUUCGUUUAAGUCAUCCGAACUUUACUUAUAUGAAAUAUUUUUUUCUCCAUCUAUUUUCUAAAAUUGAUGUCUCCUCUCUAUCUUGUGAUGUGUGUAUUGGAACAAAACAACACUGGGUUUCAUUCCCUCACAACCAUAUAAACCCACACAAUUGUUUACCCUUAUCCAUAGUGACAUUUGGGGUCCUUCCAGGGUUACCAACUCAUUUGGGAAACAAUGGUUUGUAACUUUCAUUGAUGAUCAUACUCGUCUUACCUGGAUCUACUUCAUCACGAGAAUCUGAGGUUUUCUCUAUUUUCCAAAAUUUCUUUCACACCAUUGAAACACAAUUCCAUGCAAAAAUUGCAAUUCUUUGGAGCGAUAAUGGUCGGGAAUUCCAAAACCAUUUCCUUAGUGAAUUCCAAAACCAUUUCCUUAGUGAAUUCCUAGCCUCUAGAGGAUUGUUCACCAAAACUCGUGUGCCUACACUUCCCAACAAAAUGGGGUGGCCAAUCGAAAUAACUGUUAUCUUUUGGAAGUAGUUUAUUUCCUUAUGCUAUCUACUUCCGUUCCUUCAUUCUGUGGGGAGAUGUUAUUCUUACAACAGUCAACAACUUAUUUAAUCAAUAGAGUGCUUUCUCGUAUCCUCCACCUUUAGACUCCCUUAGAUUGUCCUAAGAAGUCUUACCCUUCUACUCGUCUAAUUUUUUAGGUUCCCCUUCAUGUGUUGGGGUGACGGCCAUAAUCGGACCAAAUUUACCCCUCGAGCUCAGGCAUGUGUGUUUGUUAGAUAUCCCUUCAUCAGCGUGGUUAUAAAUGUUUUCAUCUGUCAUCCAGGAAAUACUUCGUCACUAUGAAUGUUACUUUUUGUAAGAACCGACCCUACUUUCCUGUUAGCCAUCUUCAGGGGGAUAGUGUGAAUGAAGAGUCUAAUUGUACCUUAGAGUUUAUCGAACCUACUCCUAGUACCAUGUCUGACUUCAAUUCUCAUCUCACUUGCCUACCCACAAAUCAAGUUCCUUGGAAAACGUAUUACAGGAGAAAUCUCAUAAAAGAAGUCGAGUCCUCUACUAGUCAGCCGCUGGCUCCAAUCCAAGAUUCUGAGCCUCCUCGAGAUCAAAUGGUGAUGAUAUUGAGGUAUGAGCAGGAAUCGGUAAUAAUGAAGCUGAAGAGGGCCGGGAAACUUGAUGAGUAUGAUCUCUCUUUUGACAAUCCCAUUGCUUUGAGAAGAGGUGUGGAUGUUGAUGCUGCCACAAAACGUGGAAUAAAAGUUGCAAGGAUACCAAGUGGAGUGACUGGAAACGCACUGUCAUGUGCAGAAAUGGCUAUAUACCUAAUGUUAGGCCUUCUUCGCAAGCAGAAAGAGAUGCAGAUUGCAGUUGAUCAUAAAAUGCUUGGAGUGCCAACUGGGGAUACACUCCUUGGAAAAACAGUUUUUAUCAUGGGCUUUGGGAACAUUGGUCUGGAAUUGGCGAAGCGCUUGCGCCCAUUUGGUGUAAGAAUUAUUGCCACAAAACGCAGUUGGACAGAAAAUUCUAGCCAGUUGAAUGGUGCAAGUGAGGAUCUUGUCGAUCAGAAAGGUGCUCACGAGGACAUUCAAAAAUUUGCAAGCAUUGCAGACAUUGUUGUUUGCUGUUUGUGUCUCAAUAGUGAAACUGUCGGUGUCGUGAACAAGUCAUUCUUAUCUUCGAUGAGAAAGUGUUUAAUUACAGGGUUCACUUUUGGUAAAUGUUGCUAGAGGUCGUCUCCUAGACUAUCAGUCCACUUUACAUUCCCUUGAGUCUGGUCACUUAGGAGGCUUGGGCAUGGAUGUUGCUUGGACUGAGCCAUUUGACCCCAAUGAUCCUAUUUUGAAGUUCAAUAAUGUGAUCUGCACUCCUCAUGUUGCUGGAGUUACCGAACACUCUUAUCGCUCUAUGGCUAAGGUUAUAGGGGAUGUUGCCCUUCAAAUGCAUGCUGGAUCUCCCUUGACAGGGAUCGAGUUUGUCAAUUAAUUUGUUCCACCUGGCUAGCCAGCCAGUUCAGAUGCCUUUUCUUGAUCAUUACACUUUUCAAAUUAAGCAUGAACCAACCCAUAUUCAUGUAUGCCAUAAAUGAAUCUAUAUUAUCAACAAUUUAGGAUUUGGUUUAUGUUAGCCCUAGAUUGGGAAGAAUCAGAACUUUGAGACUUAGUUUGUGGUAAUGAGAUGUUUUGAACACUAAAAAUCAAGUUAGUCUUGGGGAGAGUUAUUUAGAGGAUAAA